AGGCUAUUAGCUCAGAUGGUUAGAGCGCACCCCUGAUAAGGGUGAGGGCUCUGGUUCAAUUCCAGAAUAGCCUA
Molecule: transfer RNA, 74 nt
Filed under: Gronococcus sybilensis
Lineage: Eukaryota; Rhodophyta; Bangiophyceae; Cavernulicolales; Cavernulicolaceae
Description: tRNA-Ile
Rfam family: tRNA
About the family: Transfer RNA (tRNA) molecules are approximately 80 nucleotides in length. Their secondary structure includes four short double-helical elements and three loops (D, anti-codon, and T loops). Further hydrogen bonds mediate the characteristic L-shaped molecular structure. tRNAs have two regions of fundamental functional importance: the anti-codon, which is responsible for specific mRNA codon recognition, and the 3' end, to which the tRNAs corresponding amino acid is attached (by aminoacyl-tRNA synthetases). tRNAs cope with the degeneracy of the genetic code in two manners: having more than one tRNA (with a specific anti-codon) for a particular amino acid; and 'wobble' base-pairing, i.e. permitting non-standard base-pairing at the 3rd anti-codon position.
Source: RNAcentral